RNAcentral lists this unclassified non-coding RNA (229 nucleotides) under Glomus sp. RNAcentral describes it as "partial contains 5.8S ribosomal RNA and internal transcribed spacer 2". The stretch from base 1 to 65 matches the Rfam family "5.8S ribosomal RNA", at positions 84 to 154 of the family's 154-position model. Lineage: Eukaryota; Fungi; Glomeromycota; Glomeromycetes; Glomerales; Glomeraceae. The record is from RNAcentral.
GUGAAUCAUCGAAUUUUUGAACGCAAAUUGCACUCUCCUCGGAGAGUAUGCCUGUUUGAGGGUCAGCCUAUAAAAAAUCGACAUCGUUGCUGUUUCACGGUGACGUUCGUCGGAAAUUGGGUCAUCUUAAAUCUUUUGGGUUUAAGCGACUUAAAAUUUUCUUUUUGAUUCCAUGUACGUGUUUAUGAGUUUUAUUUCUUUACACGUUUGGGAUAUCGAUUUAUUUUAC